CAUAUGAAUAAUCAGCACAUUUUUUAGUUUUUGUUAAGAGGAACUAUAGACAGUGGGUAGAAUGUAAGCUUUUCUUACUGUCUGUGAUAGGAUAUGCUUGACAUCAGUCUUUUAGAAUACAUCAUGCUAGGCUAUUUAUGCAUAAAACAUUGCUAGUUGGGCAUAGGUUUAGAUAGCGCUAGCUAGUAACAUAAUACGGUUUAGGUAAACACAUGUAGGCAAUAACGUUAAAAGCUCAAAGCAGGAUAGCGUAUAGCAUGGUAGAAGUGCUCAGUAGAAUUAGAAUGUAAAUAUGAUCUGGACACAUGCAGGAAGAAAAUUUCCUAAGCAAGGAGUGGGUGAGUGCCUAUAGUGACCCUGACCCCUAGGGGAAUCCAUGUGGAGACAGAACCCCCCAUGGAUGCCUGCCAGUUAUCCCAUUAGCCUAUGCCCUCUGGGUAUACAACACAUUCCAGCAAGUUAGCGCCUCGCCAGUGGUCCACGUGCCCAAACAGUGAGAGGAUGCCCGAGCCUGGUAAGUGUGAUGGUCUUCUCAGCAAGUGUGAUGUUGGCAUCCAGCAUGGGUAGGUCCCUGGCAUUCCAUGGUGAAUACGGGCAAAGCGUCGGUCCC
Pelobates cultripes (western spadefoot toad) is the source of this 610-nucleotide non-coding RNA. Lineage: Eukaryota; Metazoa; Chordata; Amphibia; Anura; Pelobatidae. The record is from the annotation of a GenBank genome assembly.